This 468-nucleotide ribosomal RNA is filed under the name uncultured bacterium. RNAcentral's name for it is "partial 16S ribosomal RNA". It matches the Rfam family "Bacterial small subunit ribosomal RNA", at positions 28 to 507 of the family's 1533-position model. The record is from RNAcentral.
GACGAACGCUGGCGGCGUGCUUAACACAUGCAAGUCGAAUGGAAAGGCCCUGCUUUUGUGGGGUGCUCGAGUGGCGAACGGGUGAGUAACACGUGAGUAACCUGCCCUUGACUUUGGGAUAACUUCAGGAAACUGGGGCUAAUACCGGAUAGGAGCUCCUGCUGCAUGGUGGGGGUUGGAAAGUUUCGGCGGUUGGGGAUGGACUCGCGGCUUAUCAGCUUGUUGGUGGGGUAGUGGCUUACCAAGGCUUUGACGUGUAGCCGGCCUGAGAGGGUGACCGGCCACAUUGGGACUGAGAUACGGCCCAGACUCCUACGGGAGGCAGCAGUGGGGAAUAUUGCACAAUGGGCGGAAGCCUGAUGCAGCAACGCCGCGUGCGGGAUGACGGCCUUCGGGUUGUAAACCGCUUUCGCCUGUGACGAAGCGUGAGUGACGGUAAUGGGUAAAGAAGCACCGGCUAACUACGUG